CAAUGGGACCAGGUGACCGCCCUGAUUAUAUCUGGGAGGAAAGUCCGAGCUCCACCGGGCAGAAUGCUGGGUAACGCCCAGGCGGGGAAACCCGACGGAAAGUGCCACAGAAACAUACCAUCCCGAUGUAAUCGGGAUAAGGGUGAAAUGGCGAGGCAAGAGCUCACCGCUCUCCUGGUAACAGGGGAGGCAGGGUAAACCCCAUUCGGAGCAAGGCCAAAUAGGGGAUUUAAGGUGCCCGGCCUAUCCCUGGGUUGGCCGCUGGACCCCGAUGGCGACAUCGUCCUGCUUAUGUAGGAACCCCCAAUUAGUUUGGCGGGUGGGCUAGAUAGAUGGUCACCGCUCUGACGUAUGGAGGAGGAAGUCUAUACGAUGUAAACUCCAUGUGUUAGAGCACAGAACUCGGCUUAUAGGUCCCUCUGGCUA
This 426-nucleotide RNase P RNA is filed under the name Chloroflexota bacterium. Its description in RNAcentral is "Chloroflexi bacterium (groundwater metagenome) RNase P RNA component class A". It matches the Rfam family "Bacterial RNase P class A". From Rfam's summary of the family: Ribonuclease P (RNase P) is a ubiquitous endoribonuclease, found in archaea, bacteria and eukarya as well as chloroplasts and mitochondria. Its best characterised activity is the generation of mature 5'-ends of tRNAs by cleaving the 5'-leader elements of precursor-tRNAs. Cellular RNase Ps are ribonucleoproteins. Lineage: Bacteria; Bacillati; Chloroflexota. The record is from RNAcentral.